GACGAACGCUGGCGGCGUGCUUAACGCAUGCAAGUCGAACGGAAAGGCCCCUUUGGGGGUCCUCGAGUGGCGAACGGGUGAGUAACACGUGAGUAACCUGCCCUUGACUUCGGGAUAACUUCAGGAAACUGGGGCUAAUACCGGAUAGGAAUCCUUGCUGCAUGGUGGGGGUUGGAAAGCUUCGGCGGUUUUGGAUGGACUCGCGGCUUAUCAGCUUGUUGGUGGGGUAGUGGCUUACCAAGGCUUUGACGGGUAGCCGGCCUGAGAGGGCGACCGGCCACAUUGGGACUGAGAUACGGCCCAGACUCCUACGGGAGGCAGCAGUGGGGAAUAUUGCACAAUGGGCGGAAGCCUGAUGCAGCAACGCCGCGUGCGGGAUGACGGCCUUCGGGUUGUAAACCGCUUUCAGCAGGGGCGAAGCUUGUGGUGACGGUACCUGCAGAAGAAGCACCGGCUAACUACGUG
This 465-nucleotide ribosomal RNA is filed under the name uncultured bacterium. Its description in RNAcentral is "partial 16S ribosomal RNA". It matches the Rfam family "Bacterial small subunit ribosomal RNA", at positions 28 to 507 of the family's 1533-position model. The record is from RNAcentral.